RNAcentral lists this ribosomal RNA (378 nucleotides) under uncultured organism. Its description in RNAcentral is "bacterial SSU rRNA". It matches the Rfam family "Bacterial small subunit ribosomal RNA", at positions 526 to 896 of the family's 1533-position model. The record is from RNAcentral.
CAGAGACCUCAAGCGUUAUCCGGAAUCAUUGGGCGUAAAGCGUACCGAUAGGUGGUUAUGAAAGUCAGAGGUGAAAUUACUGAGCUCAACUCGGUAACUGUCCUUAGAAACUUCAUGACUAGAGGGGCAAAGAGGAAGCUGGAACAAACGGUGUAGUAGUGAAAUGCGUUGAUAUCGUUUGGAACACCAAUAGCGUAGGCAGGCUUCUGGGUGCCACCUGACACUGCUAGGACGAAAGCGUGGGGAGCGAAUGGGAUUAGAUACCCCAGUAGUCCACGCUGUAAACGAUGAUAAUUAGGCGCUAGAGAGUAUCGACCCUCAUUAGUGCCGUAGCUAACGCGUUAAAUUAUCCGCCUGGGGAGUACGGCCGCAAGGCUA